ACGGAAGGCAGCAGUGAGGAAUAUUGGUCAAUGGGCGGAAGCCUGAACCAGCCAAGUCGCGUGAAGGAUGAAGGUAUUAUGUAUUGUAAACUUCUUUAGACGUAGAGAAAUAAGGAGGUCGUGACCUCUGAUGCUAGUAUACGUAGAAUAAGGAUCGGCUAACUCCGUGCCAGCAGCCGCGGUAAUACGGAGGAUCCGAGUGUUAUCCGGAUUUAUUGGGUUUAAAGGGUGCGCAGGCGGUGGAUCAAGUCAGUGGUGAAAUGGUGCGGCUCAACCGUAGCAUUGCCGUUGAAACUGGUUCACUUGAGUGCGGACGAGGCAGGCGGAAUGUGUUGUGUAGCGGUGAAAUGCAUAGAUAUGACACAGAACACCGAUUGCGAAGGCAGCCUGCCAGGCCGCAACUGACGCUGAGGCACGAAAGUGCGGGGAUCGAACAGGAUUAGAUACCCUGGUA
This 454-nucleotide ribosomal RNA is filed under the name uncultured Paludibacter sp. RNAcentral describes it as "partial 16S ribosomal RNA". It matches the Rfam family "Bacterial small subunit ribosomal RNA", at positions 341 to 792 of the family's 1533-position model. The record is from RNAcentral. Lineage: Bacteria; Pseudomonadati; Bacteroidota; Bacteroidia; Bacteroidales; Paludibacteraceae.